RNAcentral lists this small RNA (83 nucleotides) under Mycolicibacterium rhodesiae NBB3. RNAcentral describes it as "Mycobacterium rhodesiae NBB3 Mycobacterium sRNA Ms_IGR-2". It matches the Rfam family "Mycobacterium sRNA Ms_IGR-2". The record is from Rfam by way of RNAcentral. Lineage: Bacteria; Bacillati; Actinomycetota; Actinomycetes; Mycobacteriales; Mycobacteriaceae.
GUGACGGCUGUCACAGGCGUACGGUCGAUCGCACGACGGGUUCGGGAGUGACAAUUCCGAAGAGCCGGCAUAAGGGUUGAAAG